GUUGUAUAAAGUUAAAUUCGAUUAAAUUCUUCUGUUUCGUUGCCAUUCAAUAGUCUAGAAAACUUAUCUUGGAUACACUUAAUGAGUUCUCUUUUUUCGGUUAAUUUACAGCGUUCAGGUGGAAAUUCAAGUAACUUACCGCGAAACCGAAAAUGUUGUUGCGUGUGAAGAACCACGAGCCGCUAGGCGAGUGGAUCUACAACAAACUUUGACAAUAUUAUGACGCAAAUUUGUGGUAUGAUUCUCGCCUUAUCAAGAUUGCAGCGCUGAAUCAGUGCUGAUAUGUUUGACAAAACUUUCGCUGAUUUCGUCAGCUUUCAAAUUUCAUCCGUCUGUACUCUUAUUGACAAUAAAAAUUAGCCAAUUAGCGGGCGAGAAAUCGCUCAGUAAUUGUAAAAAAAGUAUUCGCGUACAAACUCUUCGUGUUUCCAAAUAUGGUAUUUGGCAAAACUGAAUAUUCCAACACUGUGAGCGCGCGUUACACGUUUCAAUCCCUUAUGUGCUUUUGUCUCUUGCAAAUGACGUUAACUUAUUGCGUUCGACGACAGGAGAAGGCAACCUUAAUCUUGUGUAGCUAAGAAAAAUCGAGAUUUUGUGUGUUCUGCAUUUGCCUCGCUUUCGUUUGGACGCAAAUUUGCCUCGCUUUUGUUAUUGGCGUGAUACCUUACAUGGAUUUCCAUCAUGCCACCAUUGUCGACAGGGUGAGGGAUUACCACAAGAGACUCCUCCUUGAGGCUUGGCUCUAUAGGGGAGACUCAACGUGGUCAAUUUCAUAAUAUGGGCGUUGGUCUGACAAACUUCUAAUUUAUACUUCAUUUGUAAAGUUUUUCUAAACCAGUUGCUGAAGAAGUGUACCCUACUGCACAUAACCAGGAUAGAAGGGUAAGGAGUAAUGCUUAAGUUUUAGAAUAUAAGCAGGAAGAAAAAAUGUAUUUAGUAUAGCAACAUAUGAUAAAGUCAUUCAUUGGUGUAAGGCUUCCGAGUUCUACGCUCGCCCUCCUUAACUUUUUGGCCUUCAUUUCAGCGAAAGAACCAAAAAGGCAUUGGCGACAGUUCUCGCAUGAACGCAGAGCAAAGCAAAACACACGGAGAAAAGGAAAGAAAUGCAGGACUACUAGACAAAGUAAAGCAAACCGAACAGCGUCCCCGUACGGAUGAAGAGAGCGUAAAAAAGCACCGUCAGAAAACUGCACGCGGAGAAAAGCAAACCGAACAGCGUCCCCGUACGGAUGAAGAGAGCGUAAAAAAGCACCAUCAGAAAACUGCACGCGGCGAAAAGGUACGUUUAAACACUAAGAUCGUCUUGAGUAUUCAUCAACUUUGACAUCAGAUGGGUCGCGGAAUUGACUAUGCACAUAGUGCAAUGUUCGUUGUAUAGCGCCUGCAUGCUUGUUUAAUCGAGUAUGGCCGUAAAAUUAUUAAAACACACCAUCCGCCCCACGCCC
Molecule: long non-coding RNA, 1445 nt
Organism: Orbicella faveolata
Lineage: Eukaryota; Metazoa; Cnidaria; Anthozoa; Scleractinia; Merulinidae
Source: RefSeq, a predicted model, not a curated record